RNAcentral lists this long non-coding RNA (1403 nucleotides) under Homo sapiens (human). Its description in RNAcentral is "HSALNT0058380". The record is from RNAcentral. Lineage: Eukaryota; Metazoa; Chordata; Mammalia; Primates; Hominidae.
CAAGUUCUUGCACAAGGUCAAACGUUUCUGGAGGAAAGGAGCCAAGAACCAUGACAGACAAUUGCUGAACAUCAAACUAAGGAGUGAACACUUCAUCAGAUCUGCUUGCCUUAACAACAAAAAUAGCCAAAAUGUUAAGACAGUCAAACUAGAUUGAUUGUUUUUGAUACAAUCUGUGAGUGGUUGACCCAAGAAUUCUCAAUCUAAUCACGCCUAUAAAUACAGAGACUGUAUCCACAGAUGCAAAAGCAGCCAGAGGACAAGUGAGAAAUUCGUCAGUCACCUGGAUGCCUCAUCUCUACAAUGGCACUGAACAGCAUGUGAAGAGACACCCGCAAGGGUCUGUGAGUGGCUUCUGGGCGCUGGGUCUCACAGGAAGCAUCUACUUUAAAAGCUGGGAAUGCUGAUCCUUUCAGUUUCUAUCAAGAAGACAAAGUCUGGCUUAUAAUAGAAAAACAGAUUCCCCCAAAUCAUUGUCUAGAGGUGUUGAAUCACACAUGAAUGUCAGCAAAUGAUGCCAACUAUGGAUCACUUUCCUGGGGACUUUAUCUGGUGUGAACCAAGAGAAUCCUACUUCAUGCAUUUUUUUAAACAUCCACAGAUAACUGUUGUGCUGUGUCAUAGACCAAAAGGGAAAUUACAUUUUUCUCAUAAUUGGAUUUGGUACUUGUAGGCUUUCCUGAAGACAAGGAAAAGGAAAUUUAUUUUAGAUUCUUAAAAAACCUUGAACUAAAAAAUUUCAAUCAGCAUAUCAGGUGCCUAUCUGAAUUCAACCACCACUGUGGCAGAGAUGGAUGACUUCGUGUACCGGUACAGGAGAAAAGGGUUCCUGAAGCUUCAUUCUUGUUUGUUUGUUUGGUUGGGCUUUUUCUUUUCAUUCUGAGUUCUAAAAAAGUUAUUACUUGAUAGCUUGGUGGCAAUGCAGUCUGUGUUGAGAAAAUAGGAAUUGAUUAAGAAGUGAGAGACUGUGAGAGACUGAAAAUGAGUAAGAAAAAAAAAAAGCCUACAAAGCAUUUACAGUGUAAUUUUCCAAUACAGAUUUGAGUAGAUACUGCAUGCACUUAGAAACAGAUGCAUUGUCAAGCCUUUAUUAUUGAACAAAGAAUAAUUUUUGAGUUUCCCCUUUUUAAAAAGAACCCAAGAAAAUACAAUGCUAAAAUCUAUAUAUUAGCACAGCAUUCAUUUGAAUGCCUAAUUGCUUGAGACUUGCAAGAUUCAGUCUCAACUGGUGGAGGUCCUGACAUAGCUAGCAUAUGGCUGGAUGCUAAGGAAGAAUGGUUGCAAUGAUCAUUUGUGGAAACAAAACAUUAAUCUAUAAAUAUCAAUUUGCUGGGCUAAUUACCAAGGAUGUUAACUUGAUGUAUUGAUUAUUACAAAAUAAAUCUGUGGAUACAUUUAAAUGU